AAUCAACGCUGGCGGCGUGCCUCAGACAUGCAAGUCGAACGAUUAAAGCUCUCUUCGGAGAGUGCAUAGAGUGGCGCACGGGUGAGUAACACGUAAGUAAUCUACCUUCGAGUGGGGAAUAACGUCCGGAAACGGACGCUAAUACCGCAUAAUGCAGCGGCAUCGCAAGAUGACAGUUGUUAAAGGAGCAAUUCGCUUGAAGAGGAGCUUGCGGCAGAUUAGCUUGUUGGUAAGGUAACGGCUUACCAAGGCUACGAUCUGUAACCGGUCUAAGAGGACGGUCGGUCACACUGACACUGAAUAACGGGUCAGACUCCUACGGGAGGCAGCAGUCGGGAAUUUUGGGCAAUGGGGGAAACCCUGACCCAGCAACGCCGCGUGAAGGAUGAAGUAUUUCGGUAUGUAAACUUCGAAAGAAUAGGAAGAAUAAAUGAC
RNAcentral lists this ribosomal RNA (435 nucleotides) under uncultured bacterium. RNAcentral's name for it is "bacterial SSU rRNA". It matches the Rfam family "Bacterial small subunit ribosomal RNA", at positions 32 to 457 of the family's 1533-position model. The record is from RNAcentral.